RNAcentral lists this ribosomal RNA (406 nucleotides) under uncultured bacterium. RNAcentral describes it as "partial 16S ribosomal RNA". It matches the Rfam family "Bacterial small subunit ribosomal RNA", at positions 29 to 526 of the family's 1533-position model. The record is from RNAcentral.
AUUGAACGCUGGCGGCAGGCCUAACACAUGCAAGUCGAGCGAGCGGCGGACGGGUGAGUAAUGUCUGGGAAACUGCCUGAUGGAGGGGGAUAACUACUGGAAACGGUAGCUAAUACCGCAUACCAUCAGAUGUGCCCAGAUGGGAUUGGCUAGUAGGUGGGGUAACGGCUCACCUAGGCGACGAUGCCUAGCUGGUCUGGGGGGAUGAACAGCCGCACUGGAACUGAGACACGGGCCUGACUCCUACGGGAGGAAGCAGUGGGGAAUAUUGCACUAUGGGAGCAAGCCUGAUGCAGCCAUGCCGCGUGUGUGAAGAAGGCAUUCGGGUUGUAAAGCACUUUCCGCGGGGAGGCGUUACCCGCAGAAGAAGCACCGGCUAACUACGUGCCAGCCGCCGCGGUAAUAC